UGCUUCCCUUGGGGAUGCCCAGAACACAGCCUGGGAUGAUGAGGAGAGGCGGGAGAGCUUCCUAGGAGAUGGGCCCUGGAGCACCACCGUCCCUCCCCUAGGCCCAGGAUGUGAUUCUGAAUCUACAGUCAGACUGGACCACCUCUCCCCCAUGCCCCCAGAAUGUCCACAGGGGCUCCCUCGCCUACAAUAGAUGGAUUAGAUUCCUCCCUACUCUUCCCACACUGUCAGAGUCUGACUGGUGUGAAGUUCCGGUGUUUUUGUGUGUAUUUUACUACCAGGGUCGGCUAGAUAAGGAGGAGCUUUCAUUACAUCCUGGAAGUCUGUCCCCCGCACACACGCACAGCCGUCCUCCCUUCCCCCAACAUCUGAUCUAAUUCUCUCUCUGCUUUGCUGAGGCUGGCCUGGCCUAAGAGGAUUAGAGCAUUUGCUAAACGGGACCAGGACAGGCAGGGUCAGAGAACCCGCUGUGGGGAGACCCA
RNAcentral lists this long non-coding RNA (482 nucleotides) under Homo sapiens (human). RNAcentral's name for it is "long intergenic non-protein coding RNA 1595". The record is from RNAcentral. Lineage: Eukaryota; Metazoa; Chordata; Mammalia; Primates; Hominidae.